AAGCGUGGAAGCAUGNUGGUUUANUUCNGAAGGCAACCGCCGAAGGAACCNUAACCAGGUCUUUGANNAUCCCGGNGACCCACUUAUGGNAGAACAUAAGUUUUNCCCUUNNGGGGGGCAUCCGGUGACAGGUUGGUACAUGGNUUGUCCGUCCAAGCUNGGUGUCGUGAGAUGNUGGGUUAAGUCCCGCAACGAGCGCAACCCCUUAUUNUUAGUNGCCAUCAUUCAGUUUGGGCACCUCUAAGGAGACUGCCGGUGAUAAACCGGAGGAAGGUGGGGAUGACGUCAAAUCAUCAUGCCCCUUAUGACCUGGGCUACACACGUGCUACAAUGGACGGUACAAACGGUCGCCAACCCGCGAGGGGGAGCUAAUCCGAUAAAACCGUUCUCAGUUCGGAUUGUANAAAACAACUCGCNUACAUGAAGCCGGAAUCGCUAGUAAUCGCGGAUCAUGCAUGCCGCGGUGAAUACGUUCCCGGGUCUUGUACACACCNCCCGUCACACCAUGGGAGUAGAGGAUACCAGAAGUUGUUAGGCUAACCGUAAGGGGGCCGAUUACCACGGUAUGUUUUAUGACUGGGGUGAAGUCGUAACAAGGUAGUCAGUAGGGGAACNUGCGGGUGGAUCACCUCCUUU
This 636-nucleotide ribosomal RNA is filed under the name uncultured Bacilli bacterium. Its description in RNAcentral is "partial 16S ribosomal RNA". It matches the Rfam family "Bacterial small subunit ribosomal RNA", at positions 927 to 1533 of the family's 1533-position model. Lineage: Bacteria; Bacillati; Bacillota; Bacilli. The record is from RNAcentral.